GCUGGGUGCAGUGGCACACACCUGUAAUCUCUGCAGCUCAGGAGGCUGAGGCAGGAGGAUCUGGAGUUUAAAGCUAGUCUCAGCCAGAGUGAGGCACUAAGCAACUCAGACCUUGUCUCUA
RNAcentral lists this small RNA (121 nucleotides) under Marmota monax (woodchuck). Lineage: Eukaryota; Metazoa; Chordata; Mammalia; Rodentia; Sciuridae. The record is from RNAcentral.